RNAcentral lists this long non-coding RNA (228 nucleotides) under Elaeis guineensis (African oil palm). Its description in RNAcentral is "long non-coding RNA (EGUI_LNC070499)". The record is from RNAcentral. Lineage: Eukaryota; Viridiplantae; Streptophyta; Magnoliopsida; Arecales; Arecaceae.
AAAUACCUGUGGUUGAACCACAAGAAGAUUUUCAAUCAGAAGUAUGCAAGGAUGAGGUACAUCUGCAACACACACCUCCUCUUCGAAGGUCAGAUAGAGUGCGUCAAGGACUUCUGAGAUGUGGUUUUGUCAUUGAGAAUGAUAAUUUGAUCAACAUUAUUCAGGAUGAUGAUCUGCUAACCUAUUCGGAAGCUAUCAUGAGUAGAGACUCAGAUAGAUGGCUAGAAG